RNAcentral lists this ribosomal RNA (305 nucleotides) under uncultured bacterium. RNAcentral's name for it is "bacterial SSU rRNA". It matches the Rfam family "Bacterial small subunit ribosomal RNA", at positions 337 to 635 of the family's 1533-position model. The record is from RNAcentral.
UCCUACGGGAGGCAGCAGUAGGGAAUUUUCGUCAAUGGGCGCAAGCCUGAACGAGCAAUGCCGCGUGAACGAGGAAGGUCUUCGGAUCGUAAAGUUCUGUUGAAGGGGAAAAAGAGCGGAGAGAGGAAAUGGUCUCCGAUUGAUAUUACCCUUCGAGGAAGUCACGGCUAACUACGUGCCAGCAGCCGCGGUAAUACGUAGGUGGCGAGCGUUAUCCGGAAUUAUUGGGCGUAAAGAGGGAGCAGGCUGCUGAACAGGUCUGUGGUGAAAGCCCGAAGCUAAACUUCGGUAAGCCAUGGAAACCG